GGGCGGUUAGCUCAGUUGGUUAGAGCGCAGCGUUGACAUCGCUGAGGUCAGAGGUUCAAAUCCUCUAUCGCCCACCA
RNAcentral lists this transfer RNA (77 nucleotides) under Chloroflexota bacterium. RNAcentral's name for it is "Chloroflexi bacterium tRNA-Val". It matches the Rfam family "tRNA". From Rfam's summary of the family: Transfer RNA (tRNA) molecules are approximately 80 nucleotides in length. Their secondary structure includes four short double-helical elements and three loops (D, anti-codon, and T loops). Further hydrogen bonds mediate the characteristic L-shaped molecular structure. tRNAs have two regions of fundamental functional importance: the anti-codon, which is responsible for specific mRNA codon recognition, and the 3' end, to which the tRNAs corresponding amino acid is attached (by aminoacyl-tRNA synthetases). tRNAs cope with the degeneracy of the genetic code in two manners: having more than one tRNA (with a specific anti-codon) for a particular amino acid; and 'wobble' base-pairing, i.e. permitting non-standard base-pairing at the 3rd anti-codon position. Lineage: Bacteria; Bacillati; Chloroflexota. The record is from RNAcentral. RNAcentral also lists the same sequence under 1 other name.